This 100-nucleotide microRNA precursor is filed under the name Marmota monax (woodchuck). Lineage: Eukaryota; Metazoa; Chordata; Mammalia; Rodentia; Sciuridae. The record is from RNAcentral.
AGUAGGAUAGCUGGGUCAAAAGGUGGUUCCAUUCAGAGUUUGAGGAAUCUCCAAACUGUUUUCCAUAGUGGUUGCACCAAUUUGCAGUCCCACCAGCAAU